GGUAAAAUGGCNGAGUAAGCAUUAGACUGUAAAUCUAAAGACAGAGGUUCNAGUCCUCUUUUUACCA
RNAcentral lists this transfer RNA (67 nucleotides) under Prionailurus planiceps (flat-headed cat). RNAcentral's name for it is "tRNA-Tyr". It matches the Rfam family "tRNA". Rfam says of the family: Transfer RNA (tRNA) molecules are approximately 80 nucleotides in length. Their secondary structure includes four short double-helical elements and three loops (D, anti-codon, and T loops). The record is from RNAcentral. Lineage: Eukaryota; Metazoa; Chordata; Mammalia; Carnivora; Felidae.